RNAcentral lists this long non-coding RNA (1401 nucleotides) under Triticum aestivum (bread wheat). RNAcentral's name for it is "long non-coding RNA (TAES_LNC007076)". Lineage: Eukaryota; Viridiplantae; Streptophyta; Magnoliopsida; Poales; Poaceae. The record is from RNAcentral.
GAAGAGGAUGCAUCCUGAAGACAGAGGUCGAGAAGCUUGCGGAGGCAGGAAGAUCGGGUACAAGGUGAGAAUCUCUAUAAACCCAUGUUUGCUGUUGUCUUGGCAGGCCUUGCCCCUCACUGCUCCAUCACCAGAGCCUCCAUCUUCCUAGAUCCCACUGUUCCGUGAUGAACAUAUCCCUUGCCACCGAACGCUCCAGUUGUGGUACACUCACAAUUCCAAAUGAUAGGGUACAUAUUUUGGAUAUAUAUAAUUCAGAUCUCUGUGUUCUAUCAAUCUUACUAAGACGUUUUGUAUCCUUACAGGAUAUCACAAUUGCAAGUAAGAGUUGAAGGAAACCAUGUUCCAGCAGAUAAAAGUCUACAUAAGCUGGACUGAUGUUGUUAUUCCGAUCAUGGUUUUGUUUCUGCAGGCUUGACGGAUUAACUCCUUGGUGUACAUAAAGGCAAGGGACGUAGUUAGUUGUCUUCCAAAUUCUGACGGUUACUCUGGGUUUCAAGGCUUGUUUAGUGUGGCAUAUGGUGCUCCUAAGUCAUGCAAUGGAUGCACAAUAUGUAUCAUUCUGUACUGGGUAUGUUCUUGGCAUCUGGUUGUGCUUUUGCUCUAUGGUAAAUGAAAGGCCAAAGAAUGAAAGAAAACUUUUGUCUAGCUCUUUGUCUUCUAUCAUGUGAUUCUGCUGUUGAGGCAUGAUUGUGAUCAGAUAUUCUUGCUUCCUUCGAACACCAUUUUGUUGAAUGAUUCUGCACAAAUGUGAUGCCAUAUAUGUUAAAUAUGUGCAUUCUUUUAGGUAAUAUCCAAAUGAAACUGACAAAAGUACCGGAGUAUUUUCUUUCUUUGGUAAAUAAAAGUACCAUGCCAAAAGAUGUUUUGUCUUACUAAGAUUAUUGAAGGAAAAAACAUCUUCUGAUUUCUUGAAACUAUCAUUUAGUAUAUAAAAGUUACAUAAUAAUAUUAGUAAUGUUUAGUGUUAAUCUUCAUAAUGAGUUAUGUACUGUCUUGGGGUAUUCUGAAAUAAUAAUAAUAUCAGUUAUAUUGUAGGAUAUUUUCUAAUAGCAAUUGUUGUACGUACAUUAUCGCUGAAAGAUUCUAAGAUAGUUAAUAUCUUCUUUUGAUAGAUAAUAUUUUGUAGUUAGAUAAUAUUUCAUUGAUAUUUUCAAACUUUUUUCCGUUUUGCAGAUUGCAGAGAUUUUAGAAGUAAUUAUUUGAUGGCUUUUGAGACUUUGUUUCUAUAUCAUCUUCUAGAUAGCCAAACUGAAUCGCUCCGUAGACUAGCAGAUCCACUAAAUUGGUGCAGUGGAUGCUAAUUUCCAAGGCAACACCAAUAUGAGCAUAAGGACCAUCAAAUGUAUCAUGUAUGAUUUGUUCAAGGAAUACUAGAUUAUCCUCCCCGCAGAAAGGACU